GUCUCCAAGAUGGCCGCUUGGGGAAGGAGGCGUCUUGGCCCGGGCAGCAGUGGCGGCAGCGCCCGAGAGAGGGAACCAACAGUGUUUGUAAUGAAGAACAUCAGACUCUGAGCUGUAACCUGAAUUCUUGUCCAAAAUUCAGCACACUGGCAACGAGCACAUCAAACAGAUUGCCACUUGUCCUGUCGGCGUCUUUGAGACACACUUGCCCAUCUAGGAAAGCACAGUGCAGGUAUCUGUGUUCUGCCACCGUGUGCCAGCCCGGACCAGCUCACAGACAGCCCCGCCUGUCUUACUUGGGCUGCUCGGCUUCACUCUCUCAGGGCCCCUGAACCUCCCUCAGCCCUCCGUGAUUGUUGGAAUGGUGAGCUUGUCGGCCACAGACUGCUACAUUGUGCAUGAGAUCUACAAUGGGGAGAAUGCCCAAGACCAGUUUGAGUACGAGCUGGAGCAGGCCCUGGAAGCCCAGUACAAGUACAUUGUGAUUGAGCCCACUCGCAUCGGCGACGAGACGGCCCGCUGGAUCACCGUGGGCAACUGCCUGCACAAGACGGCCGUGCUGGCGGGCACCGCCUGCCUCUUCACCCCGUUGGCGCUGCCCUUAGAUUAUUCCCACUACAUUUCCCUGCCCGCUGGUGUGCUGAGCCUGGCCUGCUGCACCCUCUAUGGGAUCUCCUGGCAGUUUGACCCUUGCUGCAAGUACCAAGUGGAGUACGACGCCUAUAAACUGUCGCGCCUGCCUCUGCACACACUCACCUCCUCCACCCCGGUGGUGCUGGUCCGGAAGGACGACCUGCACAGAAAGAGACUGCACAACACGAUAGCACUGGCCGCCCUGGUGUACUGUGUAAAGAAGAUUUACGAACUCUAUGCCGUAUGAUUUCAGUAGAACAGGGAGCGAAGCAAAACCACCCGGCCCACAAGAGACAACAGAGUAUUCAGAUCGCCACACUCUGUGAGGCAGCAGAGCCUGGGAAGGUGUUUGGCUUAAUAUUUGUUAUUUUUAAAAAAUAACAGAUCACGGGUGUACCCAGGGUUUUUCAGCUCAUUACACUAAGAUGUGGAUUUCCAUAACCCAAGAAGGGGGUCUGAGGCUGUGGAAGUCCGACUGGGCAGUGGAAUGCUGAUGGAGGCAGACGCUGCCGAGGGGGUGUGGACGUGCUUUGGGGGAGGUCUUUAAGUCUAUUGUUUAACUGUACCAUCCAGAGCCCACCAGAAGCUAUUGACCAUUAAAAUUAUGAGAAUU
RNAcentral lists this small RNA (1246 nucleotides) under Pongo abelii (Sumatran orangutan). RNAcentral describes it as "processed transcript". The record is from RNAcentral. Lineage: Eukaryota; Metazoa; Chordata; Mammalia; Primates; Hominidae.